RNAcentral lists this long non-coding RNA (7349 nucleotides) under Marmota monax (woodchuck). The record is from RNAcentral. Lineage: Eukaryota; Metazoa; Chordata; Mammalia; Rodentia; Sciuridae.
GCCCAAGGCGAGGAGACGCGUGGGCAUUGUCGCCGUCGCCGUCCCACUCCUUGGUCCCCCCACCCCCACCCCGCAGAUGGUAUCGUCCCGGCUCUUCCCCGCCAGGGCCCCUAGCCGCGGGGGCAAGAUGGCGGCCGCCACGGAGGGUCUCCUGCCGGCCGGUCGUCACGGCUACUGCUGACCCAGCAUCAGCUUUCCUCCUUCCAGAACCUGGCUUCGAGCAGGGGUUGGGAAGGGCAGUGGACGGCGUUGGGGGAGGCCCGCGAGGCAAGUGGGAGCGGGAGGACGGAGUGAGCCAUUGCAUGGGGGGAGGGGGCGUCCUCGGCCUUAGGCAGAGCCCGGCUCCGACUCCCACCCGGUCUCUCCCGAGGACGUGCUCCGCGGUGCCGGCUGCCACUGCCCUGGUGGCCCCCAGCAGAAGUGGAGGGACAGACAAGUGACUUUUCCGUGGGUCGAAGACUCCGCGGUCGUUUGCGGCCGUGCGUGCGGUUCACUCCCUCUUUUCCGCGGUCCCCGCUGCGCGCUCGGUCUCCUGGCGCUGGACGAGUUAAUCCCACGCCGGCUUUGGCUCCUUCUCCUCGUGGCGCCGCGCCCUCGUCCUCCCCACCCGGGGUCUUGCGGUCUUCUCGGGCUCAGAGACCUCGAGGCUACUAAGACCUUUCCAAAGACCUUUCAGAUGUUUGUACCGUGCUUAAUUAGAAUUGUCUCGGCCCUCUGCAGCCUCCCACCAUGGUCCUCGAGCGCUUCCACUACCUGCACUUUGCCAAGACCUCAUUCUUUCUUACCUUUGUACUCUUUAACGUGCUGUUCAGAAAACAGUUCAGGCUAGCUUAGUCCCUGGCAAAUCUGGCCUCCUGUGAUCAGGCGGACCUGAGCCAUCAUUUAUUGCGCAUCCCCGAAUUUUUUAUUUUACAACCAACUCCCUUGACCCUGUCAUGAAGGGCUGCUUUCCUUGAAUGACUAGGAAGAGAUGCCACCCCAGCCUCACGCAGUGAGUUCCGAGGCUAACCCAGACCCCUUCCUUUUUCCUUGGAUUUUGCCUACUUCUCGGUUGUCAUCAAUUUGCAUGAUCAUUAUGGAGAGAGGGAGUAACUGAUUAUAUAUAUAUAUAUAUAUAUAUAUAUAUAUAUAUAUAUAUAUAUGUAUCUAUGUAUAUAUUUGAGUUGAGGUAGUGUUGGUCAAAAUCAGUGCCCUGGAGGAAUUUACGAUAAGGUAAUGAUUCACUCCGGUCAGCGGACUGUGCUGUGAGCACACUGUGCUUGGUAGUGGAGAUAAAAAGAUACCACUUUACCCUUCUUCUGUACAUUUGACAGCUAACAAAUAUUCUUCGUGCCUUCUUUCUGCUUAGUAAAAAAUAACCAACUUUAUCUGGGGACCAUGAAGAAGGUUUAUAAAAGUAAAUGUUUGAGCUGGGCCAUGAAGAAUCAAAAGGAAUUUGCUAAACUCGGGAGGACACAAUCACUCCUGAAUCUAAAACAGAACUGAAAACUUAAGUCUGGGCAUAGUUAGGGAGAGUGGGAAAAUAAAUGGUGCUUGAGCAGGCAGUGCAGGGUGGGGUUGAUGAAGCAAGACGUAGGUUGAAAGCAGCUUGUGAAUGAUCCUGAUUUCUAGCCAAGGGGUUCAGGUUUUAUCCAGUAGUUAGCAGGAAGCCAGUAGAUCCUUAGAGCAAGAGGUGGGCAGGGGGAUAUUUGUUUCUUAAAAUGGGCUCAUUGAAAACUGUGUGGAAGAUCCACUUGGAACAGGAAAACUAGAUGAGAGGAAAUUUCAGUCAUUCAGAUAAGACACUGAGUGUCUCUACUGAGUCAGGACAGUAAAGGAUGUCAGACUAAGUAAAUGCCAAUUAGGAUUUAACUCCUGGCCACUAAUUAGCUGAUAAGACCCUAGUUUUCAGUCUGGGAGACUAUAUGGUCAGCAGUAAUAUUAAAGUCCAGUGUGAGACAUGUACAUAAAAACAGGGUGGUGUCAGCCUGGUCUGCAGGAGUGGCAAAACACAGUGCUCCACAGUUGAAGGUGUUGAUUUUAGAGUCUAGACCUGCACUUUUACAGUAGCAACGGUCACUUGAGGUAUUGAGCACUGGCCAGUGGUUAGUUUGAAUUAAGGUGUGCUGAAAAUAAAAAGUACGCCUGGGUUUUGAAGACUUAGUACAAAAAAGCAAUGUAAAGAAUCUUAAUUUUUAAAAAAUGAUUACAUAUUGAAAUGAUAGUAUUUUGGACUUACUGGGUUAAAUAAAAUAUUUUACCUGUUUAUACUUUUUAGUGUGACUGAAAAAAAUUAAAGGGACAUCUGUGGCAUGUGUUAUAUUUCUGUUGACAACUAGUCUGGUCUAAAUUUAUGAGGGGGCAAUUGAUCAGAAGGUGGCAUUUGAGCUGGACCUUGAGAGAUGUGGUGAGCGGUGAUGUCCAGGCAGCUUCCUAGGACCCUACAUUGCCAGUUAAAGCAUUCAGGUUAUUUUGCUUUUUUUCCUCAGACAGUAAGAAACCAACAAACAUUUCUGAGCAAGGGGUAAUGUGUAUAGGGAUGUUUCUGAGGCUAAUCUGGCAGCAUUGUUUAAAUUGAGAGGAAGGAAAGAAAAGCUGGAGGCAGAGAAAUGGAGAAACUCAUAUAAGGUAAUAAGGCUCACAUUUAAGUACUGGCAGUAGGAACAGAAAGGGAAUGAUAUGUGUGCAAGGCAUUCUGGGGGAGAAGUAAUUUGGAAUUGGUAGCAGUCCAAGGGAAAGUAAAAGGAAGAACCAUUUUCAAACCUUGGUUACCUAGUAUUAAUAUUUCAAUUACAAAAUUUAUUUGGGGCUGAAGAAAUUUAGUCCCAAAACAGAACCAGCAGAGAGGAGGAAGUAGUCUGCUAAAUUCUCUCUCUUCAUCUCCCUGCUGUUAUCUGUUCAAUCAUACCUACCAACUAAUUUUCCUAAACUACAGAAUUAACAUUUUUCAACUUGUUAAUGAAUCUUAAAAUGUUUCUCUUUUUCCUGAGAACUAGCUCCAGGGUUUCCAGGGCCCUUCAUUAUCUGGCUUCUCUCUGUUUAUUAGAACUUAUUUUUUUCCUUUUAUUUUUUGAUUAUAUGAAAGUAUGCCAGGUUAGGUUUUUCACUGAUAUUGUUUUUGUUUUGAACCUUUGCUCAUUAUCCCUGUUUUGAAUACCUUCUUUCUACCUCGUUUCCACAGCUCCUUAAUGAAUAAUCAUAGAUCCCACCUCUUCUGUGACUCUCAAUUAUAGAAGCUAUUUAGAAAUUUUAAAAUUUUAUUUCUUAAGCUUUAUACUUAAGCCCCUGAUUAUUACCAACAUGUCUCAUUAUUACUUAUUUUUAUUGCUUUAUUAUCCCUAUUCAUUUAUGUAUAAGUUUAGAAAUUUAUACAAAUUCCUAAGAUUAUGUUUCUUUUUAAAAAAUGAAACAUAUAUAUUAUAUAACUUGCCUCUGCUUAUGUAUAUUAGGGGAAGAUAUACAAGUUAAAGUGCUAUAAUUAUAAACAUAAGUAAAUCAUACCACAUUUAUGAGAUUCUUUAUUUAUUUUGUAGAUUUAUAAGGAACUCUUCCUCUGAAUUCAUGGUGUUUCAUCAUAUAUACAACUGAAAAAUCAGUAAGUACUUUAUGUCUGAUAAAGAUACAGCUUAAUAUCCAGGUGUGCUGGUAUGUACCUGUAAUCCUAGCCAUUCAGGAGGCUGAGGCAAGAGAAAGGCAAGUUCAGUGCCAGCAUGGGCAAUUCAGUUAGACCAUGUCUCAAAUAAAAAAGGCCUGGGAAUAUAGCUCAGUAGUAGAGUACUUACCUAGCGCGCAUGAGGCCCUGGGUUCAAUCCUUAGCACCACACACACUAAAGGAUAUACUUUAUUAUGAGUAUUUAUAACAAAAGUCUUUUCAUCUGUUGAAAUCAGGAUCUCUGCAAAAUUUUAGCAAGAACUCAUUAAUUUGUAUCUGCGAGAUAACUUUGUAUUUUGACUUCAUAAUCUAAAUGAAAGUGGGAGUGAAGGUAGAUUUGAGAAGAAAGUUUCUCUUAGACCAUUAAUAUUAUUGUGGUAUAAGAAACUUUUUGCCAGGGAGAAUUUUCUAAGUCCUUUCCAAAAUUAUAAAACAUUUUUCACCAAAUAGAGAAUUGAUGUCUUUAUACUUCUCAUGUCUUAACUACUUUUUCCUACACUAGGUCAAUUUAUUUCAAAUUUUAUCAGUAAUUUAUUAAACAACUACUAUGUGCAGGGCAUGUGCUAAUGUACUGAAUAGAUCGAGUAUAGUCCUACACUCAGCUCUCUCAAGUAAGGAUAAACAUGUAAAUAGGUAACUCUUAAUGGUGUGGUAAGAGCACUAAGCUCAUUUAAUCUUAGCCAUGCCCAUUCAUUCAUAUAAGAAACAUUGACCACCACUAAAUAUGACAUGGAGACACUGGAAUAUUGAUUAAUAAGUUCUGUAACCUCAAGGAGUUCACAUUCUAGUACUGGGAUCAGGAGGAGAGAAAAGGACAGACAAAAAGCAAGUAAAUAAAGAGCAAUUAUAGACAGCACUAAGUAAUUUGAGAGAGAAUGAUGUUGUAGAAUGUAACAGGAGUAGAGAAGGACCUCAAGGUGUUCAAAGAAUGUUGCAGGAUAAAUUGGGGGCAAGGAAAAUGUACAGUCUAUUUAGAAAUCUUGGUCACAAUGGGUAAAAGGAAAUUUGAGAAAUGUAGUGGUUAGUACCAAACUGUAUCAGAGGAUGAAGGCCAUCCAUAAACCUCCACACAACCUGAGCUGGUGCAUAAACCUCUGGCUUCUCAGAUCUGGUAGUGUGAAUAGGAGGUGAAGUGGAGACAUGUUUGUAUAUGAAUAUUCUGAGAAAUUUUGCUCUGAAAAAUGAGAUGCUGUAGUAGUAGUAGGGUUAAGAGGAGUCUUAUAAAUUGGGAAAUUCUAGAGUGUCUUCGUAUGCUCAUGGGAAUAGCACGUCAGUGAUACAUGUAGGGAAAGAGGAAAUGACUAAAAAAAGCAGGAGUUAGAAGGCCAAUGAGGAUGAGAUCAGGUACAAGAGGGAUGGCCUUGGAUGGAGACAGGGCAAUUUGUUUUGUAUAGCAGGAGACCACAGUGUGUGUGCAGGCAGAUUGAUAGAUGUAGAUUCGAGAAAGUGAGAUUAUCACCUGAGAGUAGGGAGGAAUAGAACAGGUUUAUGGUUGAGCAGAAAGAGGAAUGAAAUAAUCUGAGAUGGAAAGUCAACCUAUGAAGAAGAGUAGGAAUGACAGGAGUACUUAAAUCUGUUUGAGAUCUUUGGCUGUGAAUUUAAAAAGCAAAUAGCACAUUUGUGUGAUCCUCCCCCCAAAAUUCAGCUGCUGGAGUAGACAAAGUGAAUGUAGGAGUUAAUCAAGGUUGGGGAUGAGUACAAAGAAGAACACUAGAAGAGCAAGAUACUUGAGAACAUUUGCAAAGUAAUCACAAUGGGUCAUGAACCGAAGGUGAGGACCUGGGUUGAGAUACAAGGGCAUUGUGGAUCAUGAAGAAUGAUCAGUGAAUUAGAGUGGAGCUCAAAGGAUUUUUUUGCAGCCGUAGUGAGAUGCUUGAAGGCAAAAGUGGUGUAGGCACAGGUGGUAAUAAGGUCAAGGGUGGGUGGCUGAAGUGAAAUGGAGGUUAUGGGGAUCAAGAAAGUCAAGGAACUGAGAGGUCAGUGUUGAAGUUACUGGGAGAAAGACUGAGCCAGGAGCUAAAGUCCUCAGUGAAUCAGGUCGGGUUAGUAGAUACCGAUGCUGAGGAGGAGCUAUGGAGGCUAAUAGUGAACUAGCUGCUGGUGUGAGCUUCUUCAGGACUGGAGUAUUUGAAAGGGGAAGGAGAAGACAUAAUUUGGAAGUUGCAUUGAGGAGCAGGGAACACACUUCUUGCUUUUGAGAUGGAGUAUGGAGAGAUCUAAAAAUAAAGCCCUUGAGAAGGUUGUGGAAGAAACUGCAUCAUUAGGGAAUAGCCAGGUUUCUGUGAAGAUAAUCAAAAAGGAGGUUGAAGUUACAGGUGGGUGUAAGUAUAGUUUCAGAGAGUAUACCAAAAGGACUUGAGAGGAAGUAGGGGAUUGGGUCCAACUAGGAGAUAAAAGCAUCAGUGAUAAUGGACAACCUAGGGGUCAUUGAGUUUUUGCUGUAACUCAGGUAAACAAGAAUAGCAGAUGUGGUGGGAUUAAUUUCCAGUGAGCUGGUUGUGGAAGGUAGACCAUCAAUUAACCUUAGUUUGCUGAUGACCUUGGGUAGGUGGUGAGAGAUCAUAAGUAAUUCAGUGAUCUCUUACUUGCCUAGUUAGCCAGGAAAGGCUGAUUUUAUCUUAAGGAGCUAAAUUCUGAAAUAUUGCUCUGGAGUUGAACUUUGUUAAUAAAUACUUUUGUGACAUUUGUUCACUAAUACACAGUUCUAGGUCCUAAAUCCCCAUAGAUGUGUCCCUGAUAUAUCUUUUAGAAAUGCAUGUAGUAGGCAUCUCAACAUGCAUUCCAACAGGAAUGUGUGUCAGGUUUUGUUUUAGGAAUUGCAAAUAUAAGAUACAACCUCUGUUUUUUAGUUACUAUGUGCCUGAGCAAGGGUUGUGAACAUUUAACUCUGUAAAGUAUGUGAAUUUCUAUAUGUGUAUGUAUUUUGGGGGUUUCUUAGUGUUUUGAGGAUUGUGGAGGGAAAAGGCGGGUCCAUAGCUUUUUAUCAGAUUCUUGAAGGGGUCUAUUUAUUUAAGGACCUCUGGGCUAAUAGGAGAGAAAGACAUGUUAACCAGUCACUGUGGUGCAAUGUAAUCAAUGUCAUCAUAGAGCAAGGUAAAGGGGGAACAGAUUGACCUUGAGGAAUGAGUUCAUUAUUUCAGUAAAUGGUUUCAUUUAGAAGGAAUUUAGAUGUGGUAGUCUCUGUUCUAGGUAAUUUACUUAUUAUUUGAAAUCUCCAAUAUCCUUUUUACAUAAAUAUUAAUCACAUAGGAGUACCUUCAAAUCUGGAUCUGUCUGAUUCCAAAAUCUCCUUUUCAUUUCAUCAUGUUGGGGAAACACUGAAAGACUGUAAACAAGAGUGUAGGAUUAUGCUUUCAUUGUUAAGCUUGAUAAUAACAGAAGUGGGUCUUAAAAAAUAUUUGCUUUCCAUCUUUAUGGAAUUUCUGUGCACUUACAAAUUUGAAAUAAUUUGUCUAUUAUAUGUUAGAAUGUGCUUUUGUUUAAUUAUAUUUUUCUUUUGAAGGGACCUUUUUAGGUUACUGUUACUCAAACCAAAAGAUGACAUCUAUUAUCAAAUUAACUACCCUCUCUGGGGUCCAAGAGGAGUCUGCUCUUUGCUAUCUUCUCCAGGUUGAUGAGUUUAGAUUUCUGUUGGACUGUGGCUGGGAUGAGCACUUUUCUAUGGAUAUUAUAGAUUCCCUGAGGAAGUAAGUUACAUUUCAUAUUUCAAGACUUUUAU